RNAcentral lists this ribosomal RNA (497 nucleotides) under uncultured bacterium. Its description in RNAcentral is "partial 16S ribosomal RNA". It matches the Rfam family "Bacterial small subunit ribosomal RNA", at positions 28 to 507 of the family's 1533-position model. The record is from RNAcentral.
GAUGAACGCUGGCGGCGUGCCUAAUACAUGCAAGUCGAGCGAACAGACGAGGAGCUUGCUCCUUUGACGUUAGCGGUGGACGGGUGAGUAACACGUGGAUAACCUACCUAUAAGACUGGGAUAACUUCGGGAAACCGGAGCUAAUACCGGAUAACAUGUUGAACCGCAUGGUUCAACAGUGAAAGACGGUCUUGCUGUCACUUAUAGAUGGUUCCGCGCCGCAUUAGCUAGUUGGUAAGGUAACGGCUUAUCAAGGCAACGAUGCGUAGCCGACCUGAGAGGGGGGUCGGCCACCUGGGAACGUAGACGCGGUCCAUACUCCUACGGGAGGGAGCAGUAGGGAAUCGUCCGCAAUGGGCGAAAGCCUGACGGAGCAACGCCGCGUGAGUGAAGAAGGUCUUCGGAUCGUAAAACUCUGUUAUUAGGGAAGAACAAAUGUGUAAGUAACUAUGCACGUCUUGACGGUACCUAAUCAGAAAGCCACGGCUAACUACGUG